This 253-nucleotide ribosomal RNA is filed under the name uncultured bacterium. Its description in RNAcentral is "partial 16S ribosomal RNA". It matches the Rfam family "Bacterial small subunit ribosomal RNA", at positions 524 to 776 of the family's 1533-position model. The record is from RNAcentral.
GACGUAGGGAGCGAGCGUUGUCCGGAUUUAUUGGGCGUAAAGAGCGCGUAGGCGGCCGAGUAAGUCCGACGUGAAAUCUGGAGGCUCAACCUCCAGCGGUCGUUGGAAACUACUCGGCUAGAGUCCGGAAGAGGAGAGUGGAAUUCCUGGUGUAGCGGUGAAAUGCGCAGAUAUCAGGAAGAACACCGAUGGCGAAAGCAGCUCUCUGGGACGGUACUGACGCUGAGGCGCGAAAGCGUGGGGAGCGAACAGG